This 71-nucleotide transfer RNA is filed under the name Ictidomys tridecemlineatus (thirteen-lined ground squirrel). RNAcentral's name for it is "Spermophilus tridecemlineatus (thirteen-lined ground squirrel) tRNA". It matches the Rfam family "tRNA". From Rfam's summary of the family: Transfer RNA (tRNA) molecules are approximately 80 nucleotides in length. Their secondary structure includes four short double-helical elements and three loops (D, anti-codon, and T loops). The record is from Rfam by way of RNAcentral. Lineage: Eukaryota; Metazoa; Chordata; Mammalia; Rodentia; Sciuridae.
GUGGAUGUGGCUCAAUGGUAGAGUACUUGCCUAGCAUGCGUGGGGCCCUAGGUUCAAUCCCCAGUACCACA